Ribosomal RNA from Pteropus vampyrus (large flying fox), 119 nucleotides. The record is from Ensembl. Lineage: Eukaryota; Metazoa; Chordata; Mammalia; Chiroptera; Pteropodidae.
GUCUACAGCCAUACCACCCUGAACAUGCUCGACCUUGUCAGAUCUCGGAAGCUAAGCAGGUUUGGGCUUGGUUAGUACUUGGAUAGGAGACCACCUAGGAAUAUCAAGUGCUGUAGGCA